UUCCUGGUGGCUCAGAUGGUAGAGAAUCCAUCUGCAACGUGGGAGACCUGGGUUCGAUCCCUGAGUAGGAAA
This 72-nucleotide transfer RNA is filed under the name Bos taurus (domestic cattle). It matches the Rfam family "tRNA". Rfam says of the family: Transfer RNA (tRNA) molecules are approximately 80 nucleotides in length. Their secondary structure includes four short double-helical elements and three loops (D, anti-codon, and T loops). Lineage: Eukaryota; Metazoa; Chordata; Mammalia; Artiodactyla; Bovidae. The record is from Rfam by way of RNAcentral. RNAcentral also lists the same sequence under 1 other name.